This 21-nucleotide non-coding RNA is filed under the name Caenorhabditis elegans. The record is from RNAcentral. Lineage: Eukaryota; Metazoa; Nematoda; Chromadorea; Rhabditida; Rhabditidae.
UUUGGCAUAUUCGAAAAAAUC